GGGGAUGUGGCGUAAUUGGCAGCCGCGUAUGCCUUAGGAGCAUAUACCGCAAGGUGUAAGGGUUCGAGUCCCUUCAUCCCCACCA
RNAcentral lists this transfer RNA (85 nucleotides) under Herpetosiphon sp. Its description in RNAcentral is "tRNA-Leu". It matches the Rfam family "tRNA". From Rfam's summary of the family: Transfer RNA (tRNA) molecules are approximately 80 nucleotides in length. Their secondary structure includes four short double-helical elements and three loops (D, anti-codon, and T loops). Lineage: Bacteria; Bacillati; Chloroflexota; Chloroflexia; Herpetosiphonales; Herpetosiphonaceae. RNAcentral also lists the same sequence under 1 other name. The record is from RNAcentral.